GGUUGAAGGUUGGGUAACACUAACUGGAGGACCGAACCGACUAAUGUUGAAAAAUUAGCGGAUGACCUGUGGCUGGGGGUGAAAGGCCAAUCAAACCGGGAGAUAGCUGGUUCUCCCCGAAAGCUAUUUAGGUAGCGCCUCGUGAAUUCAUCUCCGGGGGUAGAGCACUGUUUCGGCUAGGGGGCCAUCCCGGCUUACCAACCCGAUGCAAACUGCGAAUACCGGAGAAUGUUAUCACGGGAGACACACGGCGGGUGCUAACGUCCGUCGUGAAGAGGGAAACAACCCAGACCGCCAGCUAAGGUCCCAAAGUCAUGGUUAAGUGGGAAACGAUGUGGGAAGGCCCAGACAGCCAGGAUGUUGGCUUAGAAGCAGCCAUCAUUUAAAGAAAGCGUAAUAGCUCACUGGUCGAGUCGGCCUGCGCGGAAGAUGUAACGGGGCUAAACCAU
RNAcentral lists this ribosomal RNA (449 nucleotides) under Salmonella enterica subsp. enterica serovar Infantis. RNAcentral's name for it is "partial 23S ribosomal RNA". It matches the Rfam family "Bacterial large subunit ribosomal RNA", at positions 743 to 1190 of the family's 2925-position model. The record is from RNAcentral. RNAcentral also lists the same sequence under 7 other names. Lineage: Bacteria; Pseudomonadati; Pseudomonadota; Gammaproteobacteria; Enterobacterales; Enterobacteriaceae.